AUAGCCCUGCAAGUCCACCCUCCUGUCUACCCCCAGAUGGGCCACCAACUUCACUGCCUCUCCCCUCCAGCCAGUGAGUAUGCCCCAGGGUCCUGCUAAGGAGAGUCCAGCACAAGAGCCUGAGAGCAAGAGCCAGGGAACAGGAGCCAAGUGGCUUGGGAGCUCAGAUGAUGUCAGCUCUUCUAAUAUUAUUGAGGCAAUAAAAGGCUUUCUAGCUGUGGUGUGCACGGAAAAGCUAUAUUAACAGGACAUCCUGCGCGGAUAACUAUGUGGAUGACGCUGGCCUGACGUGCUCGCAAGCGCCCCCUGGCUUCUGGCUCUUCAAAAUAACUUGUCAUAUGGGCAAGACAAUGUUUGUGCUGAGUGUUUUCGGGUUUUGCUUCUUUGUUUGAGUUGUUGUGUAGUGCCUUCUAAUUCUCUGCCAGCUCCUACAAGCCUGGAACCGAAUUUUAGAGUUGGAAAGGACCUUGUUCUACCUUCCCAAGGGAUGUCAGGCUCAGAGAGGGUAAGUGACCUCUUGGAGGCCACACAGCAGGUGGAUGCAAGCUAUACCCAGCCGGCAUGGGUGUUCCCAUCCUACAGUAGGGGUCGAAGAACACAGGAUCUGCAGCGAGGCAGACUGAGUGGGAGCCCAGGUCGGCCAAUCCCACUCUCACUGUGUGUCCCUGGGCAUGUGACAACUACCCUCUCUGAGCUUUAGUGUCCUCAGCUAUAAAAUGACAAGAAUGACAGAACCCACCUGCCCAGGUUGUUGGGAGGAUUAAAUAUUGACCUGCUUUUACAGCAACAGCACAGACUCUGACACCAGUUCUUGCUAAGGGGUGGCAACAUCACUGUAAUUUGACCCCAGAGGAAUCGUCUAUCCACCAGGAUACUGGCUGAAGCCGAAUGGACAUGCUCUGUGUGUUCUCAGCAGCAAGUUUAUCCAUUCUGGUGUCAGAUCUGAAGGCAAAACUUCAAGACACUUUCCACUCUGCCACUCAGUCUCUGUGCUGAAAACCAGCACUGUUGCAUGAUCAUAAACCCUGGAAAUAGUACCUUAAAAACUAGCAGGUGGGACUGGGGGCAAGAUGUGACCAUCGAGGGUAGCUCGAGGGAACUUCUUUGGGGUGGUAGGUUUCAUUGGAACAGUUCUGUGUCGUGACUGUGGUGUUGGUUAUACAGAAAUAUAGACUGUAUUUAUACUAGGAGUAUAAUACAUAUACAUAUGUAAUUUUUAUUAAAUAGUUGAAUACAUAUUUAAUUAAAUAAUACAUAUAUGUAUUUAUACUGAAUUUAACUAUGCUAAAAUUCCAUAGAACUAGACAGAAAAAAAUGAGUGUACGUAAAAACUAGUGAAAUCCAAAUAAAGCAUGUAGUUUAGUUAACAGUAUUGUACCAAUGUCAAUUUCCUGUUUUGGUAUUUGUGCUAUGGUUAUGUAGGAUGUUAUCACUGAGGGCAGGCGAGAACUCUUUGUGCUAAUGCUACAACUUCUAUGCGAAUCAAAAAAAUAAAAAGUUUAGACACAAAAAAUAAAGAGAUAGUUUGGCA
This is a long non-coding RNA of Felis catus (domestic cat), 1531 nucleotides long. RefSeq lists it as uncharacterized. The record is from RefSeq and is a predicted model, not a curated record. Lineage: Eukaryota; Metazoa; Chordata; Mammalia; Carnivora; Felidae. The transcript has 2 exons.